GACGAACGCUGGCGGCGUGCCUAAUACAUGCAAGUCGAACGCAGUGGGGACGGGUGAGUAACACGUGGGUAACCUGCACAUCAGAGGGGAUAACACUCGGAAACAGGUGCUACACCGAUACUGAUGGAUGGACCCGCGGUGCAUUAGCUAGUUGGUGAGGUAACGGCUCACCGAGGCCACGAUGCAUAGCCGACCUGAGAGGGUGAUCGGCAACACUGGUACUUAGACACGGCCCAGACUCGUACGGGAGGCAGCAGUAGGGAAGCUUCGGCAAGGGACGAAAGUCUGACCGAGCAACGCCGCGGGAGUGAAGAAGGUUUUCGGAUCGUAAAACUCUGUUGUUAGAGCAGCGGUAUCUAACCAGAAAGCCACGGCGAACUACGUGCCAGCAGCCGCGGUAAUAC
RNAcentral lists this ribosomal RNA (404 nucleotides) under uncultured bacterium. RNAcentral's name for it is "partial 16S ribosomal RNA". It matches the Rfam family "Bacterial small subunit ribosomal RNA", at positions 28 to 526 of the family's 1533-position model. The record is from RNAcentral.